GGUGGAAGCCCGAACCCGCAGGCCUCUCCCGAGCGCGCGCUGCCGCGGAGUCGGUGGGGGUCGAACACACGGCGGCGGGCGCCUCUCUACCACAUUCCCCUCUCCCCGGCUCCGCGUCCGAGCACCGGACAGGACUGUCACGGAACCCCCCCUUGCCCCCCCGGCGGCAACGCCGCUUCACGCGCACCCGUCCCCUGCCCGACGCCGACGUUCCGGUCGCGUGACCGAGUGAUUAACACACGCACAAAAACACACUCGCUUGUUUCCAAAGGCGUCCAGUCAAAACUCCCGGUUCCACCGGAACACUUUUAACGCACGUGACGCAACUUAAGAAGAAGCGAAGCGCCGCCGGUCCAGAGAGCAGGAACCCGCUGAGGCAGCUGACCGGACAAGUCGCACCGGGGCCGGUACCGGAGUCCUCCCGGGGACCAGGUCCCACGGUCCCCCGCCCCCCUACCGAGCACCGAGCGGACCGCUGCGACACGAACACUUUGACCGCUUUUCACAACGCAAAGAGUCCUCCGCCGAGUGGAGACGGUGCGUCACCGGGGAAACAGCGCCGCCCUGUGGCCAGCCAGGAGCACUACACGGCGGCAGCUACUAUGAUAACAGUCCAAAUGGAGGUCGGAGUUGACGGACGGCGCCGUGUCUCAUCGUCGGUGUUCUGAUCCCUGAAGUUCAGCUGUGACGCUGAUGUCCAACGUGUUGGACGUCUUUGUACAAACCGUAUGCUUCAUAUGAGAAAUGCUCCAGUAAAGGAUGCCUCUUGUCACCAGCUGCACGAUGCAGGGGGAAGUUAAAUAAAUGCUCCGAUGAAGCAUAGAUUUGAAAUUGCUGUUGAAUUACAUUCUUAUUUCUACAAACUAUUCUGUUUCACAUGAAUAAAUAGAUCAACAAAAAGUAAAAAUAAUGCUGAUGACAGCACUGUGGGUGUAUAUAUAUAUAUAUAUAUAUAUAUAUAUAUAUAUAUAUAUGUAAUAAGCAAGCUUUACUUAACUUUUCAACAUUAUCUAUAGACAUUUUUCUCAAAUGACACUAAACAUAUUUGCAUCAGAUUUAGUAUAAUAAUAAAAGAGUAUAAUCAGUAAAGAGAACUUGUUGGCUAACUGAAGCUAACACACAUCGUGUAUAAAGAAAAUCACUUCACAGUUAUUUAGUCUCCACAAGGGACAAAGCUGCAGAACCCCACUAAGUAUCAACUUAUAUUUAUACACACAUGUAUAAAUAAAUAAAUACAUAUAUUUAAGUAUUUAUUUUGUCCUCCAUACAAGUACACAUAGUACUACUUUAAAACCUACUUAAAACUACCUUUAAUACAAGUACUUAAAACUACUACUACAAUAUGUACUUAUAACUACCACUAUAACAAGUACACAUUGUAGGCUACUUCUAUCACAACUACUUAAAACUACUACUACUACUACAAGUACUUAAAACUACUACAAGUACUUAAAACUGCUACUACAACACAUUCUUAAGACUGGUACUAAGUACUUACGACUACUACUCCGCUAUCUGUACUACUACUACAACACGUAGUACUAGUACCCCAAACCUCCGGCAGGGGGCGCUGGCGGAGGUUUUAACCGCUUAAACGCUCCGUGAGUGGGCGAAGAGAAGAGGUUAAAGGUCAAAGACGAGGGAGGAGGAGGAGGGCUCGUCUCCUUCCUUCCUUCCUCCUUCCUUCCUCCUGACGGAGUCACACAACCUUCGGAGACUUUUAACAACUUUAUCCGGAGUGUUUCUAAAACAAGGCGCCCGCGCGGCCGGACCGGCGGUGACGUAGCGCUGUGACGUCAGCGGUGACGUAGAGCGGCAUGUCGGAGCGAUCCACGUCCGUCUGGAUGUGACCGGUAGGCGGGUUAAACCCCCCGAGCCCCCCGGCUGCUGGUAAACAACCGGGCGGCUUCGGUUUAA
Long non-coding RNA from Gasterosteus aculeatus (three-spined stickleback), 1917 nucleotides. Lineage: Eukaryota; Metazoa; Chordata; Actinopteri; Perciformes; Gasterosteidae. The record is from Ensembl.